GAAAUCCUCCAGACAGACCCCCGGCAGUGAGACAGACGUCACUGGCAGAGUCAUUUGAGCUUCAGAGAGGCAAAGAAUAUCCAGGUGAUUCCCCAAGAGCUAUAAAUAUUACAAGGAGCCUUGCUGAAAUGAUCGCAAAGGACCCGCAACCACUCUCUCUGUCGUUGAAGAUGAGGGUUUUAGGAAUUUUGCUUGGUAUUUUUGUUUAGUUAUUUGCACUUUAAUCACUUUAUUUUUUCACAAACAAUUGUGUGCACUUUGUUUAUAAGCGAAGACAGUGUGCGAAAAGGGAAAUUAUUUAAUCUGUUA
This is a long non-coding RNA of Monopterus albus (swamp eel), 309 nucleotides long. RefSeq lists it as uncharacterized. The record is from RefSeq and is a predicted model, not a curated record. NCBI's taxonomy places the organism in Eukaryota, Metazoa, Chordata, Actinopteri, Synbranchiformes, Synbranchidae. The transcript is spliced from 2 exons.